RNAcentral lists this ribosomal RNA (250 nucleotides) under uncultured bacterium. RNAcentral's name for it is "partial 16S ribosomal RNA". It matches the Rfam family "Bacterial small subunit ribosomal RNA", at positions 524 to 773 of the family's 1533-position model. The record is from RNAcentral.
UACGGAGGGUGCAAGCGUUGUUCGGAUUUAUUGGGCGUAAAGGGCGUGUAGGCGGUUUGCUAAGUCUGAUGUGAAAGCCCCGGGCUCAACCUGGGAAGUGCAUUGGAAACUGGCAGACUUGAGUACGGGAGAGGGCAGUGGAAUUCCCAGUGUAGGAGUGAAAUCCGUAGAUAUUGGGAGGAACACCGGUGGCGAAGGCGGCUGCCUGGACCGAUACUGACGCUGAGACGCGAAAGCGUGGGGAGCAAAC